GUUCGAGAAGCAAAGAUGGUAUUGUGACAUGGAUUAAGAAGAAGAUCGGGCCUGCGCUUCACAAUGUGACCACAGCGGAAGAGGCAGAGAAGAUACUGGCUACCGACAGUAAAAUUGUUCUGGGAUUUUUUGAUUCUCUAGUGGGUGCUGAUAGCCUUGAGCUUAGUGCUGUUUCACAACUUGAAGAUGAUGUCAGCUUCUAUCAAACUGUCAAUCCUGAUGUAUCGAAGGUUUUCCACAUCGACCCCAAAGCCAAAAGGCCUUCUUUGGUGAUGCUAAAGAGGGAGGAAGAGAAGCUGGCCUACUUUGACGGUGAGUUCACCAAGUCUGCCAUUGGAGAGUUCGUAUUUGCCAACAAGCUUCCUCUAGUGACCACCUUUACCAGGGAAAGUGCCACACUGAUUUUUGAGAAUCCAAUUAAAAAGCAGCUUUUGCUCUUUGCCACAUCAAAAGAUUCUGAGAAAGUUCUACCAGUCUUUCA
Molecule: unclassified non-coding RNA, 481 nt
Filed under: Hevea brasiliensis (rubber tree)
Lineage: Eukaryota; Viridiplantae; Streptophyta; Magnoliopsida; Malpighiales; Euphorbiaceae
Source: RNAcentral